This 450-nucleotide long non-coding RNA is filed under the name Paramuricea clavata. The record is from RNAcentral. Lineage: Eukaryota; Metazoa; Cnidaria; Anthozoa; Malacalcyonacea; Plexauridae.
UAACACUGCCACGACUCCAAGUGAAAUUAUUUAAUAAAAAAAUAUAUAUAUAGCUUUAAAUUUUCGGCAGCAUGCCNNNNNNNNNNNNNNNNNNNNUUCCUCUAAUGACUCAACUGUCUUGUUGUUAUUAUUAACAGCUUUCGCACUUCUGGGUUGUACACCAUCACGAGCAUAUUUAUUCAAACGCAAGUCCGUAAACAUACGCUUCCAUAACUGGGUUCGUUUCUCUAGCUGAACUACGAUGGAGUUUACUUCUAUCGGAUGAAAUCUCUUAAGCGACAAAAACAACUCGCGUUCUUCUACUUUUAAACAAGGAAGUUUGUGCUUGUAAUGUUGCUCAAAUAAAUUCAUCAGCUUCCUCGAGCAUUUUCUUAACGUUGAGUCCACCCGAGAUUGUAAAACCGGCUCCGUCGUUCCACCAUGAAACUUAAGUAAGAAACCUUUCGGAAU